This 484-nucleotide ribosomal RNA is filed under the name uncultured bacterium. Its description in RNAcentral is "partial 16S ribosomal RNA". It matches the Rfam family "Bacterial small subunit ribosomal RNA", at positions 30 to 507 of the family's 1533-position model. The record is from RNAcentral.
AUUGAACGCUGGCGGCAGGCCUAACACAUGCAAGUCGAGCGGAUGAAGGGAGCUUGCUCCUGGAUUCAGCGGCGGACGGGUGAGUAAUGCCUAGGAAUCUGCCUGGUAGUGGGGGAUAACGUCCGGAAAGGGGCGCUAAUACCGCAUACGUCCUGAGGGAGAAAGGGGGGGAUCUUUGGACCUCAAGCUAUCAGAUGAGCCUAGGUCGGAUUAGCUAGUUGGUGGGGUAAAGGCCUACCAAGGCGACGAUCCGUAACUGGUCUGAGAGGAUGAUCAGUCACACUGGAACUGAGACACGGUCCAGACUCCUACGGGAGGCAGCAGUGGGGAAUAUUGGACAAUGGGCGAAAGCCUGAUCCAGCCAUGCCGCGUGUGUGAAGAAGGUCUUCGGAUUGUAAAGCACUUUAAGUUGGGAGGAAGGGCAGUAAGUUAAUACCUUGCUGUUUUGACGUUACCAACAGAAUAAGCACCGGCUAACUUCGUG